AAUGAACGCUGGCGGCAGGCCUAACACAUGCAAGUCGAACGGAUCCUUCGGGAUUAGUGGCGGACGGGUGAGUAACGCGUGGGAACAUACCCAAAGGUACGGAAUAGCCUCGGGAAACUGGGAGUAAUACCGUAUGUGAUCGAAAGAGGAAAGAUUUAUCGCCUUUGGGUUGGCCCGCGUUGGAUUAGGUAGUUGGUGGGGUAAUGGCCUACCAAGCCGACGAUCGAUAGCUGGUUUGAGAGGAUGAUCAGCCACACUGGGACUGAGACACGGCCCAGACUCCUACGGGAGGCAGCAGUGGGAAAUCUUAGACAAUGGGGGAAACCCUGAUCUAGCCAUGCCGCGUGAUCGAUGAAGGCCUUAGGGUUGUAAAGAUCUUUCAGGUGGGAAGAUAAUGACUGUACCACCAGAAGAAGCCCCGGCUAACUCCGUGCCAGCCGCCGCCGUAA
Molecule: ribosomal RNA, 449 nt
Filed under: uncultured bacterium
Lineage: Bacteria
Description: partial 16S ribosomal RNA
Rfam family: Bacterial small subunit ribosomal RNA
Source: RNAcentral